UGUGAAGAUAGACAAUCUGCAUA
Molecule: non-coding RNA, 23 nt
Filed under: Mus musculus (house mouse)
Lineage: Eukaryota; Metazoa; Chordata; Mammalia; Rodentia; Muridae
Source: RNAcentral